RNAcentral lists this unclassified non-coding RNA (371 nucleotides) under soil metagenome. Its description in RNAcentral is "partial contains 5.8S ribosomal RNA, internal transcribed spacer 2, and large subunit ribosomal RNA". The stretch from base 1 to 120 matches the Rfam family "5.8S ribosomal RNA", at positions 35 to 154 of the family's 154-position model. The record is from RNAcentral.
GAUGAAGAACGUAGCGAAAUGCGAUAAGUAAUGUGAAUUGCAGAAUUCAGUGAAUCAUCGAAUCUUUGAACGCGCAUUGCGCCCGCCAGUAUUCUGGCGGGCAUGCCUGUUCGAGCGUCAUUUCAACCCUCAGGCCCCCAGUGCCUGGCGUUGGGGAUCGGCGUGGGCGGCGAACGGCUCUCCGGAGCCCGAGCCAAUGCCUGCCGGCCCCGAAAUUCAGUGGCGGUCUCGCUGUAGUCCCCCUCUGCGUAGUAGCACAACUCGCAUUGGAGCUCGGCGGUGGCCAUGCCGUAAAACACCCCACUUCUGAAAGUUGACCUCGGAUCAGGUAGGAAUACCCGCUGAACUUAAGCAUAUCAAUAAGCGGAGGA